CGGGACACGUGGUAUCCUGUCUGAAUAUGGGGGGACCAUCCUCCAAGGCUAAAUACUCCUGACUGACCGAUAGUGAACCAGUACCGUGAGGGAAAGGCGAAAAGAACCCCGGCGAGGGGAGUGAAAAAGAACCUGAAACCGUGUACGUACAAGCAGUGGGAGCACGCUUAGGCGUGUGACUGCGUACCUUUUGUAUAAUGGGUCAGCGACUUAUAUUCUGUAGCAAGGUUAACCGAAUAGGGGAGCCGAAGGGAAACCGAGUCUUAACUGGGCGUUAAGUUGCAGGGUAUAGACCCGAAACCCGGUGAUCUAGCCAUGGGCAGGUUGAAGGUUGGGUAACACUAACUGGAGGACCGAACCGACUAAUGUUGAAAAAUUAGCGGAUGACUUGUGGCUGGGGGUGAAAGGCCAAUCAAACCGGGAGAUAGCUGGUUCUCCCCGAAAGCUAUUUAGGUAGCGCCUCGUGAAUUCAUCUCCGGGGGUAGAGCACUGUUUCGGCAAGGGGGUCAUCCCGACUUACCAACCCGAUGCAAACUGCGAAUACCGGAGAAUGUUAUCACGGGAGACACACGGCGGGUGCUAACGUCCGUCGUGAAGAGGGAAACAACCCAGACCGCCAGCUAAGGUCCCAAAGUCAUGGUUAAGUGGGAAACGAUGUGGGAAGGCCCAGACAGCCAGGAUGUUGGCUUAGAAGCAGCCAUCAUUUAAAGAAAGCGUAAUAGCUCACUGGUCGAGUCGGCCUGCGCGGAAGAUGUAACGGGGCUAAACCAUGCACCGAAGCUGCGGCAGCGACGCUUAUGCGUUGUUGGGUAGGGGAGCGUUCUGUAAGCCUGUGAAGGUGUGCUGUGAGGCAUGCUGGAGGUAUCAGAAGUGCGAAUGCUGACAUAAGUAACGAUAAAGCGGGUGAAAAGCCCGCUCGCCGGAAGACCAAGGGUUCCUGUCCAACGUUAAUCGGGGCAGGGUGAGUCGACCCCUAAGGCGAGGCCGAAAGGCGUAGUCGAUGGGAAACAGGUUAAUAUUCCUGUACUUGGUGUUACUGCGAAGGGGGGACGGAGAAGGCUAUGUUGGCCGGGCGACGGUUGUCCCGGUUUAAGCGUGUAGGCUGGUUUUCCAGGCAAAUCCGGAAAAUCAAGGCUGAGGCGUGAUGACGAGGCACUACGGUGCUGAAGCAACAAAUGCCCUGCUUCCAGGAAAAGCCUCUAAGCAUCAGGUAACAUCAAAUCGUACCCCAAACCGACACAGGUGGUCAGGUAGAGAAUACCAAGGCGCUUGAGAGAACUCGGGUGAAGGAACUAGGCAAAAUGGUGCCGUAACUUCGGGAGAAGGCACGCUGAUAUGUAGGUGAAGUCCCUCGCGGAUGGAGCUGAAAUCAGUCGAAGAUACCAGCUGGCUGCAACUGUUUAUUAAAAACACAGCACUGUGCAAACACGAAAGUGGACGUAUACGGUGUGACGCCUGCCCGGUGCCGGAAGGUUAAUUGAUGGGGUCAGCGCAAGCGAAGCUCUUGAUCGAAGCCCCGGUAAACGGCGGCCGUAACUAUAACGGUCCUAAGGUAGCGAAAUUCCUUGUCGGGUAAGUUCCGACCUGCACGAAUGGCGUAAUGAUGGCCAGGCUGUCUCCACCCGAGACUCAGUGAAAUUGAACUCGCUGUGAAGAUGCAGUGUACCCGCGGCAAGACGGAAAGACCCCGUGAACCUUUACUAUAGCUUGACACUGAACAUUGAGCCUUGAUG
This 1733-nucleotide ribosomal RNA is filed under the name Escherichia coli. Its description in RNAcentral is "partial 23S ribosomal RNA". It matches the Rfam family "Bacterial large subunit ribosomal RNA", at positions 418 to 2136 of the family's 2925-position model. Lineage: Bacteria; Pseudomonadati; Pseudomonadota; Gammaproteobacteria; Enterobacterales; Enterobacteriaceae. The record is from RNAcentral.